UACCAGCUCUCCGAGUGGUGUGGAUGUUUAUUGGGCCUAAAGCAUCCGUAGCUGGCUAGGCAAGUCCCCUGUUAAAUCCACCGAUUUAAUCGUUGGUGUGCGGGGGAUACUGUUCGGCUAGGGGACGGGAGAGGCCGACGGUAUUUUCGGGGUAGGGGUGAAAUCCUAUAAUCCCGGGAAGACCACCAGUGGCGAAGGCUGUCGGCUAGAACGCGCCCGACGGUGAGGGAUGAAAGCUGGGGGAGCGAACCGGAUUAGAUACCCGGGUAGUCCCAGCUGUAAACGAUGCAGGCUAGGUGUUUGGGCGGCCACGUGCCGCUCUAGUGCCGCAGAGAAGUCGUUAAGCCUGCCGCCUGGGGAGUACGGCCGCAAGGCUGAAACUUAAAGGAAUUGGCGGGGGAGCACCACAAGGGGUGAAGCUUGCGGUUU
RNAcentral lists this ribosomal RNA (429 nucleotides) under uncultured archaeon. Its description in RNAcentral is "bacterial SSU rRNA". It matches the Rfam family "Archaeal small subunit ribosomal RNA", at positions 474 to 903 of the family's 1478-position model. The record is from RNAcentral.